Molecule: ribosomal RNA, 253 nt
Filed under: uncultured bacterium
Lineage: Bacteria
Description: partial 16S ribosomal RNA
Rfam family: Bacterial small subunit ribosomal RNA
Source: RNAcentral
UACGGAGGGGGCGAGCGUUAUUCGGAAUUAUUGGGCGUAAAGGGCGCGUAGGCGGCUCUAUAAGUCAAAGGUGAAAUCCCUCGGCUCAACUGAGGAACUGCCUUUGAAACUGUUGGGCUUGAGGCCGGGAGAGGGUAGUGGAAUUCCCAGUGUAGCGGCGAAAUGCGUAGAUAUCUGGAGGAACACCGGUGGCGAAGGCGGCGACCUGGUCCGAUACUGACGCUGAGGCGCGAAAGCGUGGGGAGCAAACAGG